AACGAACGCUGGCGGCAUGCCUAACACAUGCAAGUCGAACGAGACCUUCGGGUCUAGUGGCGCACGGGUGCGUAACGCGUGGGAACCUGCCCUUAGGUUCGGAAUAACUCCCCGAAAGGGGUGCUAAUACCGGAUAAUGUCUUCGGACCAAAGAUUUAUCGCCUUUGGAUGGGCCCGCGUUGGAUUAGCUAGUUGGUAGGGUAAAAGCCUACCAAGGCGACGAUCCAUAGCUGGUCUGAGAGGAUGAUCAGCCACACUGGGACUGAGACACGGUCCAGACUCCUACGGGAGGCAGCGGUGGGGAAUAUUGGACAAUGGGCGAAAGCCUGAUCCAGCAAUGCCGCGUGAGUGAUGAAGGCCUUAGGGUUGUAAAGCUCUUUUACCCGGGAUGAUAAUGACAGUACCGGGAGAAUAAGCUCCGGCUAACUCCGUG
RNAcentral lists this ribosomal RNA (433 nucleotides) under uncultured bacterium. RNAcentral's name for it is "partial 16S ribosomal RNA". It matches the Rfam family "Bacterial small subunit ribosomal RNA", at positions 29 to 507 of the family's 1533-position model. The record is from RNAcentral.